UGGUGGCGAGCGGCGGACGGGUGAGUAAUGCCUAGGAAUCUGCCUGGUAGUGGGGGAUAACGCUCGGAAACGGACGCUAAUACCGCAUACGUCCUACGGGAGAAAGCAGGGGACCUUCGGGCCUUGCGCUAUCAGAUGAGCCUAGGUCGGAUUAGCUAGUUGGUGAGGUAAUGGCUCACCAAGGCGACGAUCCGUAACUGGUCUGAGAGGAUGAUCAGUCACACUGGAACUGAGACACGGUCCAGACUCCUACGGGAGGCAGCAGUGGGGAAUAUUGGACAAUGGGCGAAAGCCUGAUCCAGCCAUGCCGCGUGUGUGAAGAAGGUCUUCGGAUUGUAAAGCACUUUAAGUUGGGAGGAAGGGCAUUUACCUAAUACGUGAGUGUUUUGACGUUACCGACAGAAUAAGCACCGGCUAACUCUGUGCCAGCAGCCGCGGUAAUACAGAGGGUGCAAGCGUUAAUCGGAAUUACUGGGCGUAAAGCGCGCGUAGGUGGUUUGUUAAGUUGGAUGUGAAAUCCCCGGGCUCAACCUGGGAACUGCAUCCAAAACUGGCAAGCUAGAGUAUGGUAGAGGGUGGUGGAAUUUCCUGUGUAGCGGUGAAAUGCGUAGAUAUA
This 616-nucleotide ribosomal RNA is filed under the name Pseudomonas sp. LL33. RNAcentral describes it as "bacterial SSU rRNA". It matches the Rfam family "Bacterial small subunit ribosomal RNA", at positions 86 to 698 of the family's 1533-position model. The record is from RNAcentral. Lineage: Bacteria; Pseudomonadati; Pseudomonadota; Gammaproteobacteria; Pseudomonadales; Pseudomonadaceae.